This 253-nucleotide ribosomal RNA is filed under the name uncultured bacterium. RNAcentral's name for it is "partial 16S ribosomal RNA". It matches the Rfam family "Bacterial small subunit ribosomal RNA", at positions 524 to 776 of the family's 1533-position model. The record is from RNAcentral.
UACGGGGGGGGCAAGCGUUGUUCGGAAUUACUGGGCGUAAAGGGCUCGUAGGUGGCCAACUAAGUCAGACGUGAAAUCCCUCGGCUUAACCGGGGAACUGCGUCUGAUACUGGAUGGCUUGAGUUUGGGAGAGGGAUGCGGAAUUCCAGGUGUAGCGGUGAAAUGCGUAGAUAUCAGGAGGAACACCGGUGGCGAAGGCGCACAUCUGGCCCGAUACUGACGCUGAGGCGCGAAAGCUAGGGGAGCAAACGGG